This 254-nucleotide ribosomal RNA is filed under the name uncultured bacterium. Its description in RNAcentral is "partial 16S ribosomal RNA". It matches the Rfam family "Bacterial small subunit ribosomal RNA", at positions 524 to 776 of the family's 1533-position model. The record is from RNAcentral.
UACGUAGGGUGCGAGCGUUGUCCGGAAUUAUUGGGCGUAAAGAGCUCGUAGGCGGUCUGUCGCGUCGAUCGUGAAAACUUGGGGCUUAACCCUGAGCUUGCGGUCGAUACGGGCAUGACUGGAGUUCGGCAGGGGAGACUGGAAUUCCUGGUGCAGCGGUGAAAUGCGCAGAUAUCGGGAGGAACACCGGUGGCGAAGGCGGUUCUCUGGGCCUUACCUGACGCUGAGGAGCGAAAGCGUGGGGAGCGAACAGG